UAAUAAAGAGAGGUCUGGUUUCGUAACAAUUUUUAGAAAAGAUUUACCAAAUUCAUCAACGUAAUCUUUCUGCUUUACAUCUGACUACAAUGAUUAUUUUUAUUGGCAUUUAGCACCAACAAUGGCAAAAAAUUGGCUUUACGUAAAUCAUUCAUUUAGAGAAACAACUUUAAGUUGACUUGAUAUGAAAAAGAAAGGAAUAAACCUUGUUUUUGUGUAUUUGGAUUGAUUUUUUUAUAUUUUACGAAAUAU
Long non-coding RNA from Hydra vulgaris (swiftwater hydra), 252 nucleotides. RefSeq lists it as uncharacterized. The record is from RefSeq and is a predicted model, not a curated record. Lineage: Eukaryota; Metazoa; Cnidaria; Hydrozoa; Anthoathecata; Hydridae.